GACGAGCUCAGAGUUUGAUCCUGGCUCAGGACGAACGCUGGCGGCGUGCCUAAUACAUGCAAGUCGAGCGCGGGAAGCAAGUGAUCACCCUUCGGGGUGUGAACUUGUGGAACGAGCGGCGGACGGGUGAGUAACACGUGGGCAACCUGCCUGUAAGAUCGGGAUAACUCGCGGAAACGUGAGCUAAUACCGGAUAAUACUUUUUAACUCCUGUUGGAAAGUUAAAAGACGGCAUCUCGCUGUCACUUACAGAUGGGCCCGCGGCGCAUUAGCUAGUUGGUGAGGUAAUGGCUCACCAAGGCGACGAUGCGUAGCCGACCUGAGAGGGUGAUCGGCCACACUGGGACUGAGACACGGCCCAGACUCCUACGGGAGGCAGCAGUAGGGAAUCUUCCGCAAUGGACGAAAGUCUGACGGAGCAACGCCGCGUGAGUGAUGAAGGUUUUCGGAUCGUAAAACUCUGUUGUUAGGGAAGAACAAGUGCGAGAGUAACUGCUCGCACCUUGACGGUACCUAACCAGAAAGCCACGGCUAACUACGUGCCAGCAGCCGCGGUAAUACGUAGGUGGCAAGCGUUGUCCGGAAUUAUUGGGCGUAAAGCGCUCGCAGGCGGUCUUUUAAGUCUGAUGUGAAAGCCCACGGCUUAACCGUGGAGGGUCAUUGGAAACUGGAGGACUUGAGUACAGAAGAGGAGAGUGGAAUUCCACGUGUAGCGGUGAAAUGCGUAGAGAUGUGGAGGAACACCAGUGGCGAAGGCGACUCUCUGGUCUGUAACUGACGCUGAGGAGCGAAAGCGUGGGGAGCGAACAGGAUUAGAUACCCUGGUAGUCCACGCCGUAAACGAUGAGUGCUAGGUGUUAGGGGGUUUCCGCCCCUUAGUGCUGCAGUUAACGCAUUAAGCACUCCGCCUGGGGAGUACGGCCGCAAGGCUGAAACUCAAAAGAAUUGACGGGGACCCGCACAAGCGGUGGAGCAUGUGGUUUAAUUCGACGCAACGCGAAGAACCUUACCAGGUCUUGACAUCCUCUGACAACCCUAGAGAUAGGGCUUUCCCUUCGGGGACAGAGUGACAGGUGGUGCAUGGUUGUCGUCAGCUCGUGUCGUGAGAUGUUGGGUUAAGUCCCGCAACGAGCGCAACCCUUGAUCUUAGUUGCCAGCAUUUAGUUGGGCACUCUAAGGUGACUGCCGGUGACAAACCGGAGGAAGGUGGGGAUGACGUCAAAUCAUCAUGCCCCUUAUGACCUGGGCUACACACGUGCUACAAUGGAUGGAACAAAGGGAAGCUAAAUCGCGAGGUCAAGCAAAUCCCAUAAAACCAUUCUCAGUUCGGAUUGUAGGCUGCAACUCGCCUACAUGAAGCCGGAAUCGCUAGUAAUCGCGGAUCAGCAUGCCGCGGUGAAUACGUUCCCGGGUCUUGUACACACCGCCCGUCACACCACGAGAGUUGGUAACACCCGAAGUCGGUGAGGUAACCUUUUUAGGAGCCAGCCGCCGAAGGUGGGACUGAUGAUUGGGGUGAAGUCGUAACAAGGUAGCCGUAUCGGAAGGUGCGGCUGGAUCACCUCCUUAAGCUUGGUACCCGGGAAUCUCUA
This 1592-nucleotide ribosomal RNA is filed under the name Oceanobacillus rekensis. RNAcentral's name for it is "bacterial SSU rRNA". It matches the Rfam family "Bacterial small subunit ribosomal RNA". The record is from RNAcentral. Lineage: Bacteria; Bacillati; Bacillota; Bacilli; Caryophanales; Bacillaceae.